This is a long non-coding RNA of Portunus trituberculatus (swimming crab), 955 nucleotides long. RefSeq lists it as uncharacterized. The transcript is spliced from 4 exons. The record is from RefSeq and is a predicted model, not a curated record. NCBI's taxonomy places the organism in Eukaryota, Metazoa, Arthropoda, Malacostraca, Decapoda, Portunidae.
CCUGCUGGUAACUCCCUCCAAGUCAGCAGUAUAGGUUGGGGCGGGGGUGAGACAAGAACGAAGCAACGUCAGCAGUAGCUCAGAAUGGCAGCUGGGACAGUAUUAAUCCAGACACCACGCCCGCUACAUCUCUCCAGUCACCACGCCACCACCGACCCCUCGAGUGUACGCAGCCCAGUGUCCGUCUGUGUCUUGUCGUGGGCGUGACGUUCAGCAGCGGCAGGAACAGCAACGGGAACCUUGAUCUGCGUCAGUUUUCGUGCGGCGGGGUGACGUGCCGCUGCUGUGAGGUUAUCGGACCACACCACACCACAGCACAGCACAGCACAGAGGAAGGAGAGGCGUUGACGAUCCAAAGGCCUGACUCCACAGCGGUAAUGAGCCUCGUCUACCUUGCACUUAACGGACAAUGCUCACUACCACCUCUGCCUCCGCCACCGCCGCUGCCGCCGUUGAGGGAGACUGGCUGGAUGAGUGGGUGAGGUGUGGUGAGGCGGAGGAUUGGAGACGAGAACCUACAGAUGACGGCAGACACGGAAGAUUCCACUUACCAGGAGUUGGUGAUCUGAAGCCAUGACUGCAGCGAUCCCAUGCGUCCUGCACCAUCAGGGAAGGACUCUUUGGCUUCGCACUGCGCCUACAUUGACCGUUGCCGUUGCCGCUGCUACCGCUACUCGGAGGGGCACUGCCUCGCAUUGGGCCUUCACUGCCGUCCCGCUAAUACACGUGCCGCCGUCGCCGCUACUGGCACUGAGGGACUUCGCCUCGCAGCGGCCUGGCAAACACCUGCUACACCACCACCACCACCACCACCACCGGAGUCCAGAGAUUCAGCUUCGCAUAGCAGACAUCCUCCUAUUCAACGCUUGCUGCCACUACCACCUCAUUAUUGUGGUGUCACUGUACUUGAAGCUUGGAUCUGUUGUCUCUACUGAAUAAUAAAGUGUAAAGAAAU